This is a long non-coding RNA of Panthera uncia (snow leopard), 152 nucleotides long. RefSeq lists it as uncharacterized. The record is from RefSeq and is a predicted model, not a curated record. The transcript has 2 exons. Lineage: Eukaryota; Metazoa; Chordata; Mammalia; Carnivora; Felidae.
ACUUAACCACUCUGUGCCUCCAUUUCCGUAUCUGGAAAAUGGCAGAAUGAGCAUCUCAAAGGAUGUUUUUUAAAGGUUCGUGAAAUGUUGGCUAUUAUUUUAUCACACUGAAGUUUUACCUUUUGAUGUAAUCAUAAAUAGCUAUUUUUUGA